AUUUUAACCUUCAAGCCUGGAGUGGAUGCUCGGUUGGGUUGGUCUCGGUGCAGCCUUACUCAAAGAACACCCCCAGGAUCUCUCACUGCCAUUUUACUGAAGAUUUCCUUCUGUCUGAUUGAUACGGGAUCCUCGUACCACCUCACUUCCGUUGUAUUUUUCCCUGUGGCUUGAGAAGUCGUGAGCCAAUUCCUGUUGCAUCUGGCAUUUCUGAACUUCCCUGGUCUCCUUUCGAAUCGCUAAUGUGCCUUCUUCGCCCCUGAGUUCAUGGCUACUCGUUUAUUAUGAAGAGGUGGCAAAGCACAGACUGCGGAGCCAGGCGGGGGCCAGGGAGCGUCAUCGCUGGCAUGGUUCUUGGGGAGCGAGGCUGUCUACAAAUUGGAGGUCAUCCUCCCAGCAGCUCUGGUUGAUCAUGCUGUCCUCGAUGCACACCUGGGGACGUGGGCCCCUGAACACACGUGCGUCCAUGUAGCCAGCAAAGGGUUAGUGUGAGUGUCCGCCGUGACCUGUGCGACUCCGGUACCCACGCAGCCCUCCCACUGCAGUCCUGAUGGCCACGCUGACUCUUGGUAGACUGGAAGCAGCCUCUGGAGAACCCGAAAUUGCCGCUUUGGCCUCUUUUGAAGGCUAGAGAAAGGUGCCCAAGUACGGCCUGAAAGUGCCUUCCCCUCCCUUUGCCCGUCUCCUAGCCUUAUCAUUUCUACUUUUCCAGGAGCAUCUCACAGGAUGGAAUUUAUGUUCCUCUGACACUGUUCUCAGAAAUGCUGGUUCGAGCAUUCAGACCAAGUGAAAAGCAUCAAAGGGAGAAGGCCCCCAGAAAAAGGAAACCUCCCCGGGGCGGAGUCUGCACCCCUCUGUUCCCCGGUGGACUCCGUGGACCCACCAGGGGGUAUAGUCCUCACUUCUGGCUCCUCCUUGAGAGGACUCUGCUGCUCUCAGGCCCUCUCCGUCCUUCAGUGCCAGCCUCCGGAAUACACUUGCUUGGGCUUCCGUCUUCUGUCUGCCAGCCUGCGUCAUACCCGUGCCCUUUAGGUGGUUUCUUCUCGCCUGGCUGAGCCCGUUGAGCAGGUUCCGGCUUUAUUUGGGCUUUAUCCUCAUCGCAAGGAGGCCGGGGUUACCUUUAUUGGGACGUCCGCUUCCCGGCAUCUGCAGUCACAGCUGUCUCUGCUGCGAGUCACGGCAGAAGACUCAGCUCCCCCACUUUCUGCUUGAUGGUCACCCCAUUCCCUCCCGGAUGCAACCACUUUUCACGGCCCUGAGGGCGCCUUGGGGUAGCACCCUGGCUCUGGGCAGUGUUUGGCUGCCGCGCUAACGGCACCUGUUUCAUGGGAACACGGUUCCGCCCGGGGUGCUGGCUGUCGUGCCUGCUUCUUGCACACUGUGCCCUGAGCAGAGCCCGCUUGUUGGUUUUCUUUCGGCUUCAUGUUUAGCUGUGCCUGUGUGUUUGGGGUGUAUGUUUGUUUUAAUUAUUACCAGGAAGCAAAAAAGAUAUUUGUCCAAUACUUGAAUGUACAGAAGUCCCACUGCUGGCAAGCGGAGAGAAUAAAUAUAUAUUUUGC
RNAcentral lists this long non-coding RNA (1559 nucleotides) under Ursus maritimus (polar bear). RNAcentral describes it as "lncRNA (ENSUMAG00000006816.1)". Lineage: Eukaryota; Metazoa; Chordata; Mammalia; Carnivora; Ursidae. The record is from RNAcentral.